Molecule: long non-coding RNA, 4075 nt
Organism: Lemur catta (Ring-tailed lemur)
Lineage: Eukaryota; Metazoa; Chordata; Mammalia; Primates; Lemuridae
Exons: 2
Source: RefSeq, a predicted model, not a curated record
CGGGAGCUGCCCUGUCCCGGGUGGCUGGGCUGCGGGCGGAGCUCAGGGCCCACCUUUCCUGUACGGGCAAAGGCCUCGGCCACCUUGCGGUUCCGCCCUCCAUAACAGGUAGUGAUGAGAUCAGCAACACCGCAGCUCUCCAAGAAUGUGGCAGAGGACACAGGGCCACUGCAGAAGAGCUUGGCAAAGGCGAUCAUCUCCAUGAGUCCCAGCCGGAUCACCGCUGCCUUGGUGUUGUCGCCAAAGCCCAGCCCAUCACAGAAGCCAGCUCCUACAGCCACUACAUUCUUGGGGGAAUGGAGGUCAUAGGUGAGAAAGGACCCUCCUCCUGCAGGCCCCAGGUAGAGCCCUCAGCACCUGCCUUGUGCUCCUUAUAUCAGCCAUGACACAGCUACUGUGUAAGUGAAGCCUAAUGUAUGUGCUCCUAAAGUAUUUCCACCUCUGGGUUUUCCCACUUGAUGUACCCACUUUCUUAAACCCUGCCCCAUACUCCCUCCUUGAGGACAUUUUCUGAAAGCACUCUUCUCUCUAGCUGGCCCUUCCAUCCGUGACCAUUCCAUAGCCCUCAUGUCCAUAGCUGUUCAGGAUCCAUAGUUCUGAUUAUCAAUCUAUCUGGGUGUCCUGGCUGUUUUGCCUCUCCUAUUAGCCUGGGCAUCUCCUCUUCCCCGCUGGACCACCUCCUGGAGACAGGGAAAAGGGGAAAGGAAGAAGAGGGUCCAGUGUCUGAUGAUGAAUAGGCAGCAGGCCUGAAUGACCCUAGCUUUGCUUCUGCAGUUCUUCCUGUGUGUGUGGGACUUGGUGGGGAAGGGGAGCAACUGCUCAAGAGUGAAAACCUGGAGUACCAGCAACCCUGUAGAACUAAGCUGGCUCUCCUUUAGGACCUUCUCCCCACCCCAUAGCUGCCUCUGUGCCCCUCUCACCUUUAAGGCUCCACAGAUCUCGACGGUGUCCACCUCUGGCACCACUGUGAUACGGAAAUUGGGUGUCUGCAUCAGUUCUUUCAGAAGUUGUCCCUGGGCCGGGUCCUUGCAGCCUAAAGUGGGGAAGGGGCAAGGCUUUGAGGGGGGACUCUUGAACUGUUCUUCUCACAUCUGCCCUAAGCAGGACCUGCAGCCCCUUCCCUGAGGGUAUCCCAACCUCCCUCACCUCUGAUGCUUGGGUCUCCUUCCUUUCCCUGCUUUAUGGGGAGGAGACAGCUAAGUGGGGUUGGAGGAGAGUAUGGGGAAGGGAUGCAACUAGAGCUGCCUGUGUAUGUGGGUGGUGGGGGGCUCUCACCAAUGGUUGUUUCACAGAACUUCUCAUCAGCCACCUCGCUGGCAAUGUUGGCCCCCAUCAGCACGCUCAUGGGGAUGCCAAGGCGUUCCCCAAUCACUUCGGAGAUGAGCUUCAGCCCAUUGGGGCCCUCGUCUACCCCCUGGGCACAGGAUGGAGCUCAGGCCAGGUGCCCUUAUGGCCAAUGGAGGGCUUCCCACCCAGAAAUCCUGCCCCUUCCAAAUCCACUGUUCAUCAUUAUCCCUCCCAGAGGUCCUGCCCCAUCCUACCCAGCUAAAGUUUGCCAUGAGGAGGGUGGACAUGUGAAAAAUUCUCCUGCCACAUACCUUUGACCUACUUCUCCAAGGCGAUAUAUCCCCUCCAUGUCUCUAGACAGCUCUUUCCUAACUACCUCAAACAGGAGGUAGUCCAUGCAGUGAUGUCACUGCUCCAAACCAGCUCGCCUUUCACACUCCUCAAACCAGCCCACUUCUCAUAUCCCCAAGGCAUCCCUUUACACCUCCCAAACUCCCUGAAGACACUGGCCUUCAGACCAAUCUCUCAUCUACUUCCCAGCCAGCCUCCCUUCCAGCAGCCCCAGCCUCUGACUGCUUACUUUAGCCUUUCCAAAGCCAAUUCCUCUGUCCUCUCUGAGCAACUCUUGGCCUACAUCUGCCAUUUUAUGUUCUCCUUGCUUCACCCUCCCCGAGCCCCAUAACAGUUGCACUGUCCCACACCCACAUCAACGUGUCCCUGGCACCUUAAUAAGAGACAUGCCAAUGGCGUUUUUCUUCAGGUGGCCCUUGAGCUGGUCACAGAUCUUGCCAAUGAACUGAUGGGGCACCACAAAGACCAGAAUGUCAGCAUCCACUGCAGCCUGGACCACAUCUGGGACAGCUACCUGUGGGGGUGACCAGGUGCUCAGGGGCCUGGUAGAUCUCUCCUAGCCCCUGUGGAACCCCAUUCAGGAUAUCUGGGAGCUAAAGAGUGAGGCUGGUGGGGGAGAAGGAAAGGUGGUUUGGGACAGAAUCUAGAAGGACUGAACUUGGAGGAACAAGACACUCUAUUCCCUCCCCCAGCCAUCACUCGCCCUCAUUCCAGCUGUCUGGGCUCUUCAGGACUGGAAACCUCCUCCCAGCAUUUCUGUCCCUUGGCUGUGGGACAGUAAGCGAAGUCAAAAGUAGCCUGGGCUUGGCAGGAGGAAGAGGCCAAAUAAGAUUUCAUCACCGUGCUCCCUAGGGCCCCCAGCUGGGAAGCAGUCUUUCUGCUCUCUCCUGCUCCCCCUUUCCAGGUAGGGAGAGAGGCACAUGGAUGUGACCAAAGACCAUAAGUCCAAGGAGCAGCCUCCCAGUCUGUUAAUAACCCAGUGAAUGAGUAACAGGAUUAGCGCCUGUGGCAGGCACUACCUGGACCCCAAGUCUGGGAGCCUAGUCUUUGGCUGCCAAGGAGACAGGCUUCCUUUCCAGUCCUUUCCCCACCCACCUGCCUGGGAGCCUGUAAGGGGGUAGGUACAUUCCAGUUCUCCUCAGUCCUAGAAAGCGUCCACAGCAGUCCUCCUGAGCUGUUUCCCAAGUCCAGCUCCCACCUGAAACUGCCCCCUCUCAGCAGGAGGCACCUCUUGAGUAAGACCCACCAUCCUGGCUGUCCCUCCCUCUACUUCCCUCUCUCCUUUCCUUGCAAGGUAUUGGGGCUCACCACAUUUGGGGGCAGCUUGUGCCCUGGCAGGUAUUUAACAUUCUCAUGCUGCGUGUUGAUGAUCUCUGUCAGCUUUCUGCCUCCAACAUCUUCCUCAAACACCCACAUGGUCACCCGUGGGUCAAAGCUUGCCAGCUGGGCUGCAUUGCCACCCACGAUCUUGGCGAUGGCAGAGCCCCUGGCAGGAGGGGGAGGACAGGAGAGUGGAGGAGUGAGGGAGGGAACAGUGGCAGGGGUUGGGGCAGUGCCCCAUCUCAGGAUCUCACAGCAGCCCACCAGAUUAUUCACUCCCACUGUCCGUGCCACCCCCACUCCCAUGACAACUGUGUCCCCAAUGACCAGGCAGUAGAAAGGAGACUCAGUCCACCUCACCCUUUGCCACUAGAGAAGGGGGCCAGCCUUCUGAUCGCUCCCCCCCCAAACCCAAACAGCUUUUCAAACAGAGCAUGCCCUGGAGACUCCAUUCCCAGCCGCAAACAGGUGCGGCUGACCAGGCAGGCAGGGGCCAGGAGCAAUCUGGGCACUGCCUGUCUUGUGCCUGCAGGCACAGACGAUAGCACCAGGGGCUGAACAGGAACCUGAGGGCAUUUCCUACCCACUCUCUGCCUCCUCCUUAGCCCUUCUGUAAUUAGGGGGACCCACGCUGCCCCCACAUCCCCUAGCAGAGCCGCUUACCAGUUGCCGGAGCCUACAAUGCAGACUUUCUUGCCAGCCAUGGUUCUGCUUCUCUGCCCAAGCAGGCUCAGUGCCACACUCCCCAGCUCUUCUGCCGGUGGGAGCAUUUAACUCUGCCACACGUGGGUGCAGCCAAGCCCCGCCCUCCAGGGGUGGGUGGAGGCUGGCGCCCAGGGAGAUUGAGAGUCUGGCAGGGCCAGGGAAAGGGGAGAAAAGGGUAGGGACAGGUGGGGAACAGGAACAGAGCAGAGACCAGGCUCAGCUUCUCCUAGGUUUGCCAGCUGACAGUGCUGGCAAGCUUCUUACAUUGGCCCCAGCCCAGUUCCCCAUCCCCCUCCUAGCCAUGGUCUCCUUUUGAGGUCUGCCAAGAAAAUAGCCCAUAUAAGGAGCAGGUGACUGGUCCCCCUCACUCCCUUCUGUCCCCCAGCACUGAAAUAAAUUGUAUUUAGCCUUA